Molecule: non-coding RNA, 28 nt
Filed under: Rattus norvegicus (Norway rat)
Lineage: Eukaryota; Metazoa; Chordata; Mammalia; Rodentia; Muridae
Source: RNAcentral
UCAGUUAAGAAUUUAUUCGGCAUUUUCC